RNAcentral lists this ribosomal RNA (253 nucleotides) under uncultured bacterium. Its description in RNAcentral is "partial 16S ribosomal RNA". It matches the Rfam family "Bacterial small subunit ribosomal RNA", at positions 524 to 776 of the family's 1533-position model. The record is from RNAcentral.
UACAGAGGUCUCAAGCGUUGUUCGGAUUUACUGGGCGUAAAGGGCGCGUAGGCGGCGUGACAAGUCACUUGUGAAAUCUCCGGGCUUAACUCGGAACGGUCAAGUGAUACUGUCGUGCUAGAGUACAGAAGGGGCAACUGGAAUUCUCGGUGUAGCGGUGAAAUGCGUAGAUAUCGAGAGGAACACCUGCGGCGAAGGCGGGUUGCUGGGCUGAUACUGACGCUGAGGCGCGAAAGCCAGGGGAGCGAACGGG